Molecule: ribosomal RNA, 483 nt
Filed under: uncultured bacterium
Lineage: Bacteria
Description: partial 16S ribosomal RNA
Rfam family: Bacterial small subunit ribosomal RNA
Source: RNAcentral
GACGAACGCUGGCGGCGUGCUUAACACAUGCAAGUCGAACGCUGAAGCUCAGCUUUUGUUGGGUGGAUGAGUGGCGAACGGGUGAGUAACACGUGAGUAACCUGCCUCCUUCUUUGGGAUAACGCCCGGAAACGGGUGCUAAUACUGGAUAUUCACUGGUCUUCGCAUGGGGGUUGGUGGAAAGGGUUUUUCUGGUGGGGGAUGGGCUCGCGGCCUAUCAGCUUGUUGGUGGGGUGAUGGCCUACCAAGGCUUUGACGGGUAGCCGGCCUGAGAGGGUGACCGGUCACAUUGGGACUGAGGUACGGCCCAGACUCCUACGGGAGGCAGCAGUGGGGAAUAUUGCACAAUGGGCGCAAGCCUGAUGCAGCGACGCCGCGUGAGGGAUGGAGGCCUUCGGGUUGUGAACCUCUUUCGCUCAUGGUCAAGCCGCAACAAUGGUUGUGGUGAGGGUAGUGGGUAAAGAAGCGCCGGCUAACUACGUG